AUGGGGAAUGUGAACUGUUUGACCAACAAGACGGACGAGCUGGCUGCCCUUGUGAGGACGGACAAGACGUUCAGGGAGUGCAGCUUACUUUGCCUCUCUGAAACCUGGCUAACCCAGAACAUCCCGGACGCUAAUGUGGAUCUACCUGGAUUCACCACAGUGAGAGCGGACCGAGACUGUGGACGCAGCGGCAAAAGCAAAGGAGGGGGACUCGCGCUGUUUAUCAACAACAGAUGGUGUAACCAGGGGCAUGUUACGGUGAAGGAAAUCGUGUGCGACCGAGACAUCGAGCUGCUUGCGGUAGGUCUCAGACCGUACUACAUACCAAGAGAGUUCUCCCACGCCAUCGCUGUUGUUGUUUACAUCCCUCCGCGGGCGCACGCAGAGACCGCGUGUGACGUCAUACAUUCAACAAUCGCGAGACUGCAAACACAACACCCAGACGCAUUCAUCGCUGUCUCCGGGGAUUUCGACCAUGUGAUACUGGACUCCACAUUGCCAGACUUUCACCAGUUUGUAAGCUGCCCCACCAGGAAGAACAGGACAUUAGACCUCCUGUAUGCCAACGUGAGGGAAGCUUACACUGCCACUCCUCUGCCCCCACUGGGAAAGUCUGACCAUAACCUGGUCCUGCUCUUGCCACAGUACAAAGCACAGAUCCAGAGACAGUCUACGACCAAACGCUCCUUCAGGAAAUGGUCUCCUGAAGCAGCAGAGGCUCUGAGGGACUGCUUUGAAUGUACUGACUGGAGCGUGCUGCAGGGAGCACAUGGUGAGGACAUAGAGGGGGUCACACACUGCACUACUGACUACCUGAACUUCUGUAUGGACGUUGUGGUCCCUAUCAAAACAGUACGCUGCUUCCCCAACAACAAGCCCUGGAUCACCAGUAAUGUCAAGGACAUCCUGAACAGGAAGAAGAGGGCAUUCAAGGAAGGUGACAGAGACGAGCUGAAGCGCAUACAGGUGGAACUCAAGGUCCAACUGAGAGAGGCGAAGGAGGAAUACAGAAGGAAGGUAGAACAGAAGCUGCAGCAUAACAACAUGAGGGAGGUCUGGGAUGGCAUGAAAACCAUCACAGGCUGCAAGAAGAAGGGCAGCAUCACAGGAGAGGGGGAUGCUGGAAGAGCAAACCAGCUAAACCUGUUUUUUAACAGGUUUGACACUCCAGCUCCCACAACCAGCGAUGGUCCACUUCACACCCACACCAUGUCCAUCACCUCCCCCAAUUCCACCACCUCAGACUGCAGACCACCCCCACCCCCACCCUCCACACCCAUGGACAGUUCAACCCCCCUCCCCACCACCAUCACCAAGGAUCAGGGGUCUCAUUUAUAA
This 1338-nucleotide long non-coding RNA is filed under the name Gadus morhua (Atlantic cod). Its description in RNAcentral is "lncRNA (ENSGMOG00000029432.1)". The record is from RNAcentral. Lineage: Eukaryota; Metazoa; Chordata; Actinopteri; Gadiformes; Gadidae.